CUUAGCGGCGGACGGGUGAGUAACACGUGAGUAACCUGCCUUGAACUGGGGAAUAACACCGUGAAAACGGUGCUAAUACCGCAUAAAGUUGUCUUAUGGCAUCAUAGGACAACCAAAGGAGCAAUCCGGUUGAAGAUGGACUCGCGUCCGAUUAGCUAGUUGGUGAGGUAACGGCCCACCAAGGCGACGAUCGGUAGCCGAACUGAGAGGUUGAUCGGCCACAUUGGGACUGAGACACGGCCCAGACUCC
RNAcentral lists this ribosomal RNA (250 nucleotides) under uncultured bacterium. RNAcentral's name for it is "partial 16S ribosomal RNA". It matches the Rfam family "Bacterial small subunit ribosomal RNA", at positions 91 to 339 of the family's 1533-position model. The record is from RNAcentral.